UACAGAGGUCCCAAGCGUUGUUCGGAUUCACUGGGAGUAAAGGGUGCGUAGGCGGUCGGGUAAGUCUGAUGUGAAAUCUCACAGCUUAACUGUGAAACUGCAUUGGAUACUAUCCGGCUCGAGGAAUGGAGGGGAGACUGGAAUACUUGGUGUAGCAGUGAAAUGCGUAGAUAUCAAGUGGAACACCAGUGGCGAAGGCGAGUCUCUGGACAUUUCCUGACGCUGAGGCACGAAAGCCAGGGGAGCAAACGGG
RNAcentral lists this ribosomal RNA (253 nucleotides) under uncultured bacterium. RNAcentral describes it as "partial 16S ribosomal RNA". It matches the Rfam family "Bacterial small subunit ribosomal RNA", at positions 524 to 776 of the family's 1533-position model. The record is from RNAcentral.